Molecule: ribosomal RNA, 467 nt
Filed under: uncultured bacterium
Lineage: Bacteria
Description: partial 16S ribosomal RNA
Rfam family: Bacterial small subunit ribosomal RNA
Source: RNAcentral
GACGAACGCUGGCGGCGUGCUUAACACAUGCAAGUCGAACGGAAAGGCCCUGCUUUUGUGGGGUGCUCGAGUGGCGAACGGGUGAGUAACACGUGAGUAACCUGCCCUUGACUUUGGGAUAACUUCAGGAAACUGGGUCUAAUACCGGAUAGGAGCUCCUGCUUCAUGGUGGGGGUUGGAAAGUUUCGGCGGUUGGGGAUGGACUCGCGGCUUAUCAGCUUGUUGGUGGGGUAGUGGCUUACCAAGGCUUUGACGGGUAGCCGGCCUGAGAGGGUGACCGGCCACAUUGGGACUGAGAGACGGCCCAGACUCCUACGGGAGGCAGGAGGGGGGAAUAUAGAACAAUGGGCGGAAGCAUGAUGCAGCAACGCCGCGUGCGGGAUGACGGCCUGCGGGUUGGAAACCGCUUUCGCCUGUGACGAAGCGUGAGUGACGGUAAGGGGUAAAGAAGCACCGGCUAACUACGU